This 253-nucleotide ribosomal RNA is filed under the name uncultured bacterium. Its description in RNAcentral is "partial 16S ribosomal RNA". It matches the Rfam family "Bacterial small subunit ribosomal RNA", at positions 524 to 776 of the family's 1533-position model. The record is from RNAcentral.
GACGGAGGGUGCGAGCGUUGUUCGGAUUGACUGGGCGUAAAGGGCGUGUAGGCGGUCGGCCAAGUCUGGUGUGAAAGCCCGGGGCUCAGCUCCGGAAGUGCGCCGGAAACUAGCUGGCUGGAGCGCGGUAGAGGAGGGUGGAAUUCCUGGUGUAGCGGUGAAAUGCGUAGAUAUCAGGAGGAACACCGGCGGCGAAGGCGGCCCUCUGGACCGUUGCUGACGCUGAGACGCGAAAGCGUGGGGAGCAAACAGG